UACGGAGGAUCCAAGCGUUAUCCGGAAUCAUUGGGCUUAAAGGGUCCGUAGGCGGUUUUGUAAGUCAGUGGUGAAAUCUGGUCGCUCAACGAUCAAACGGCCAUUGAUACUGCAAGACUUGAAUUACUGGGAAGUAACUAGAAUAUGUAGUGUAGCGGUGAAAUGCUUAGAUAUUACAUGGAAUACCAAUUGCGAAGGCAGCUCGCUGGGACGUUACUGACGCUGAGACGCGAAAGCGUGGGGAGCAAACAGG
This 253-nucleotide ribosomal RNA is filed under the name uncultured bacterium. RNAcentral's name for it is "partial 16S ribosomal RNA". It matches the Rfam family "Bacterial small subunit ribosomal RNA", at positions 524 to 776 of the family's 1533-position model. The record is from RNAcentral.